AUUGUAAUUUGAAGAGAUUUGGGUCCGGCCGGCAGGGGUUAAGUCCACUGGAAAGUGGCGCCACAGAGGGUGACAGCCCCGUGAACCCCUUCAACGCCCUCAUCCCAGAUCUCCAAGAGUCGAGUUGUUUGGGAAUGCAGCUCUAAGUGGGUGGUAAAUUCCAUCUAAAGCUAAAUACCGGCGAGAGACCGAUAGCGAACAAGUACAGUGAUGGAAAGAUGAAAAGCACUUUGAAAAGAGAGUGAAAAAGUACGUGAAAUUGUUGAAAGGGAAGGGCUUGCAAGCAGACACUUAACUGGGCCAGCAUCGGGGCGGCGGGGAGCAAAACCACCGGGGAAUGUACC
RNAcentral lists this ribosomal RNA (344 nucleotides) under Metschnikowia sp. (in: budding yeasts & allies). RNAcentral's name for it is "LSU rRNA". It matches the Rfam family "Eukaryotic large subunit ribosomal RNA", at positions 142 to 481 of the family's 3401-position model. Lineage: Eukaryota; Fungi; Ascomycota; Pichiomycetes; Serinales; Metschnikowiaceae. The record is from RNAcentral.